UCCACCCGAGCACUGACCUCGUUGAGCGA
RNAcentral lists this small RNA (29 nucleotides) under Bombyx mori (domestic silkworm). Its description in RNAcentral is "piRNA piR-bmo-1320059". The record is from RNAcentral. Lineage: Eukaryota; Metazoa; Arthropoda; Insecta; Lepidoptera; Bombycidae.